Molecule: long non-coding RNA, 1232 nt
Organism: Folsomia candida
Lineage: Eukaryota; Metazoa; Arthropoda; Collembola; Entomobryomorpha; Isotomidae
Exons: 4
Source: RefSeq, a predicted model, not a curated record
CAUGGCAUAUGUACACUCAAUCCACAAGUUUUAAGCUGUGACGGUUAAACGUUUUUCCUCGUAUUUAACCCUUAUAUAAUUCCUGAGUUAAAUUUAUCCCUGAGUUAGUCCCCUUUCUAAUCUAGACCCUUCUCGAAGGGUGCAUAUUUUAAUGGAAUGCUUUGUCCGUAAAAAGCAACCACUGUCCGAUUUCUUCCUCAGUACGAGGUCAACCUCUCUAUGAACAAGUCACUUAAUUAAGAGGUGUCCAAUUUUUGUAAAUCUGCAUAAUUUCCUAGCAAGAAUACAUUGAAUUUGGAGCUGUUCAGUCAAUAUUGGGAAAUUGUAAUGCUGCACCUUUAAAUUGCUUAAUUACUCUCGGUGACAUUCCACUCAAGACUCACGUCAUGGAGAAUAUGCGUUCCAAUUUUUACAUCGACUUUCUCCAAGAUCGGAGUCUUGGUUUGCUCUCCUCGCCAGAUUCUCCAGGUUAAUUAUCUUUAGCAGUAAGUGGAUCACACAUUUGCAUAGUAUUUUCUAGAUUUUCUCAUCUCUAAAACGACCCGAUUCAUGGAAAAAUCUCCAACAUCACGCGGAUUCAAAUAUUUUCCUACAUUUACACCGAUUCAUGAGCACAAUCGGACUUUUUCAUCGGAAAUCGCUUCUUCAUCUCGCCGACACAAGAAGAAAAGUUCCUGCAUCAAAAAGUAACCCCUUCCAGUCUAUUUCGAGUCAGUUUUUAUCUAUUGCAUAGAAAUUUAAAUAGUGAAAUAUUUAUCUUAAAUUCGUUCAUAUUUACAUAAAUAAGUAUAUAUAUUUAAGUUCAUCAUUCAAUUAGAAAUAUUAUGAGAAAUUGUCCUACAUUGUUUUCCUGGCUUCAAACUAAAUUUUCUGUGAAAUUUCUUCAAUACUUGAUAACGUUAUUAAUUAGCUAUCACUAAAUUUUCCUAUUCAUGCCUCUAUCGUAUUUUUAUGUGUAUCAAAUUUCCUCACUAAUUUUAUCAAAUGUUACCAGCAAAGUUUAAAACAUUUGCUAAUUUCUUAUCAAAUUUCGAUGGGGAAAAUUGCUGUACAAAAAUUCUUGGGAACAUUUAAGCAGCGUUUGUCGAAUAUGUAAAUAUUCGUGUCAUCAAUGCAAAAAGUUGAUGACAUCUUUUCUCUCUCGUAAUCCAUACACACUUACGCAAUAUAAAAUAGUACUGACGUAAAUAAUUCUGGAAAUAAUAUAAAAAAAUCUGCCUGUAAAAAACUCA